Long non-coding RNA from Mus musculus (house mouse), 303 nucleotides. RefSeq annotates it as predicted gene 45370. The record is from RefSeq and is a predicted model, not a curated record. Lineage: Eukaryota; Metazoa; Chordata; Mammalia; Rodentia; Muridae. The transcript is spliced from 3 exons.
CGACAACACCUCCUUCUGACCUCCACAGGAACCAGUAAUUUGCAUGUAUGUCCCUCCUGUCUUCCUGAAAUGGACCAGAAACUGCUUAAAGGUAUUCUAUUCAUCUUCGCGUCCCCUCCACCUAGGACAGUGCCCAGCACCUGAGGGACCUGGAAGGCACACGAAGUGCAACCUGACCACUGAACAAUACCGGGACAAGUGGCACCCAUCUUCCAGCAAAGCAGGUCCAUGCCCGCAGCUUGGGAAGGCUACAGAUGUUCUCCAGCGGUCUCUAGAACAGAACCAAGCGCCCUCCUGUCUUUC